ACUUGAACUCAAAAUUCCAUAUUAAUAAUGGUUGUUCAAAUCAUAUGACUAGAGAUAUAAAUAUGUUAUCUUAUUUUACUCCUACAAGAGAAUAAGUUUCUUCUUAUGGUAACAACAAAGGUAAUCUGUUGGAUCUGCAACUAUUGAUAAGAGUCAUAAUCCUACCUCUGAGUUGUUUUUAUUUAUUGAUUUUUUUAUAACACAAUUUAAUUAGUAUUUAGUAAGUUGUGUGACAAAGGUAAUGAAGUAUUGUAUAAUUCUUCUAUACACAAUGUCUUUAAAACUCCAAAAUAAAAUUUAUCUUUUUCUUAUUAAAACUUUUUCAAAAAGACCAUGACUAAAGAAAAGUUCAUUCAUGUUACCUUUGAUGAACUAACCUCAUAUUGGUUCUAGAGAUAGAGUUAUUUGUUUAUGCAGAUAUUCUAAGAAAAUAUAUCUUAGAAGACAAAUAUGAUGAAAAACCUAAAGAAUGGACAAUAUUGAAGGAUCGUCAUCUUGGCGAACAACAUAUGAAAAAUCUCAAAAGAGGAAGGCAUCCUUAAACAGAUCAACGGAAGGAAUGUGAAAUGAAAAAAGAAAUCUAAAACUCAACAUCAACCAAGAUGAAGAAGGUCGACAAAUAUUUUCAACUCAAUGAACUAGUCUCAAAGCUAGAUGAUGUCUCUAUGUGCUUAUUUUUUCAUCUUUAUUAAGUAACUCAUCCUUUCUAUUUGAGAUAUUAUUGGAUUGUAUGUGUUGUUUAUAUUUUCCUCUUUCUUUUUUGUCCUGCCUUUUUGAUGAUGACAAAGGAAGAGAAAUAUACUCUCAUGUGAGUAAAGUAUUCUCUCUUUAUAUGUGAGAACAUGGUUCUAUGUAUUAUACAAGUAAGAUCUUCAAUGGUUUUGAUGAUGAAAACUCAACAUGAAAGAUUACAUAUAAAGUCUCAUCAAUAAAUAAGAAAGCACGAGAUAAAGUGUUUCAAGUUCCAAUUGAAAGUGCUAAACAAAGUUUAAAUCAAAUGUUAGACAAAUUUUAAUCAAGUAGAAGAACUUGGAGCUGUGAAGAUGUGAAUUUGAAGUUGUAAAGUUGUGAAAUCUUUCUUGAUCAAACGUUUAGCAUUUUAUCUUGUUUUUUACCACUUAGUUAUAAAUGAAACAAUAAUAAAUCUUGAGCUACUAAUUCAAUUCA
This 1167-nucleotide long non-coding RNA is filed under the name Lathyrus oleraceus (garden pea). Its description in RNAcentral is "Pisum sativum (pea) long non-coding RNA (PSAT_LNC028778)". The record is from RNAcentral. Lineage: Eukaryota; Viridiplantae; Streptophyta; Magnoliopsida; Fabales; Fabaceae.